AUACGGAGGGUGCAAGCGUUGUUCGGAAUCACUGGGCGUAAAGGGCGCGCAGGCGGUUUGGUAAGUCAGAUGUGAAAGCCCAUGGCUCAACCAUGGAAGUGCAUUUGAAACUGUCAGACUUGAGUACUAGAGGGGAAAGUGGAAUUCCCGGUGUAGAGGUGAAAUUCGUAGAUAUCGGGAGGAAUACCGAUGGCGAAGGCGACUUUCUGGCUAGAUACUGACGCUGAGGCGCGAAAGCGUGGGGAGCAAACAGGAUUAGAAACCCCGGUAGUCC
Molecule: ribosomal RNA, 274 nt
Filed under: uncultured bacterium
Lineage: Bacteria
Description: partial 16S ribosomal RNA
Rfam family: Bacterial small subunit ribosomal RNA
Source: RNAcentral